This 779-nucleotide ribosomal RNA is filed under the name uncultured bacterium. Its description in RNAcentral is "bacterial SSU rRNA". It matches the Rfam family "Bacterial small subunit ribosomal RNA", at positions 51 to 829 of the family's 1533-position model. The record is from RNAcentral.
ACACAUGCAAGUCGAACGAGAAUCUACUGAAAGAGUUUUCGGACGAUGGAAGUAGAGGAAAGUGGCGGACGGGUGAGUAACGCGUGAGGAACCUGCCUUGAAGAGGGGGACAACAGUUGGAAACGACUGCUAAUACCGCAUGAAGCAUAGGGGUCGCAUGAUUCUUAUGCCAAAGAUUUAUCGCUUCAAGAUGGCCUCGCGUCUGAUUAGCUAGUUGGCGGGGUAACGGCCCACCAAGGCGACGAUCAGUAGCCGGACUGAGAGGUUGAACGGCCACAUUGGGACUGAGAUACGGCCCAGACUCCUACGGGAGGCAGCAGUGGGGAAUAUUGGGCAAUGGGCGCAAGCCUGACCCAGCAACGCCGCGUGAAGGAAGAAGGCUUUCGGGUUGUAAACUUCUUUUAAGAGGGAAGAGCAGAAGACGGUACCUCUAGAAUAAGCCACGGCUAACUACGUGCCAGCAGCCGCGGUAAUACGUAGGUGGCAAGCGUUGUCCGGAUUUACUGGGUGUAAAGGGCGUGCAGCCGGGUCUGCAAGUCAGAUGUGAAAUCCAUGGGCUCAACCCAUGAACUGCAUUUGAAACUGUAGAUCUUGAGUGUCGGAGGGGCAAUCGGAAUUCCUAGUGUAGCGGUGAAAUGCGUAGAUAUUAGGAGGAACACCAGUGGCGAAGGCGGAUUGCUGGACGAUAACUGACGGUGAGGCGCGAAAGUGUGGGGAGCAAACAGGAUUAGAUACCCUGGUAGUCCACACUGUAAACGAUGAAUACUAGGUGUGCGGGG